CGGCGGACGGGUGAGUAACGCGUGGGUAACCUGCCUCAUACAGGGGGAUAACAGUUAGAAAUGACUGCUAAUACCGCAUAAGACCACAGGAUCGCAUGAUCCGGUGGUAAAAACUCCGGUGGUAUGAGAUGGACCCGCGUCUGAUUAGGUAGUUGGUGGGGUAACGGCCUACCAAGCCGACGAUCAGUAGCCGACCUGAGAGGGUGACCGGCCACAUUGGGACUGAGACACGGCCCAG
Molecule: ribosomal RNA, 238 nt
Filed under: uncultured bacterium
Lineage: Bacteria
Description: partial 16S ribosomal RNA
Rfam family: Bacterial small subunit ribosomal RNA
Source: RNAcentral